RNAcentral lists this ribosomal RNA (645 nucleotides) under uncultured bacterium. RNAcentral's name for it is "bacterial SSU rRNA". It matches the Rfam family "Bacterial small subunit ribosomal RNA", at positions 232 to 885 of the family's 1533-position model. The record is from RNAcentral.
CGCGGCCUAUCAGCUUGUUGGUGAGGUAACGGCUCACCAAGGCAACGACGGGUAGCUGGUCUGAGAGGACGAUCAGCCACACUGGGACUGAGACACGGCCCAGACUCCUACGGGAGGCAGCAGCAGGGAAUAUUGCACAAUGGGCGAAAGCCUGAUGCAGCGACGCCGCGUGGGGGAUGAAUGCCUUCAGGUUGUAAACCCCUUUCAGGAGGGACGAAGCGAAAGUGACGGUACCUCCAGAAGAAGCCCCGGCCAACUACGUGCCAGCAGCCGCGGUAAUACGUAGGGGGCGAGCGUUGUCCGGAUUUAUUGGGCGUAAAGAGCUCGUAGGCGGCUCAACAAGUCGGCCGUGAAAGCCCGAGGCUCAACCUCGGGAUGCCGGUCGGAACUGUUGUGGCUAGGGUCCGGUAGAGGAGAGUGGAAUUCCCGGUGUAGCGGUGAAAUGCGCAGAUAUCGGGAGGAACACCAGUAGCGAAGGCGGCUCUCUGGGCCGGCACCGACGCUGAGGAGCGAAAGCUAGGGGAGCAAACAGGAUUAGAUACCCUGGUAGUCCUAGCCGUAAACGUUGGGUACUAGGUGUGGCGGAUUCAUUGACAUCUGCCGUGCCGAAGCUAACGCAUUAAGUACCCCGCCUGGGGAGUACGG